This 448-nucleotide ribosomal RNA is filed under the name uncultured bacterium. RNAcentral describes it as "partial 16S ribosomal RNA". It matches the Rfam family "Bacterial small subunit ribosomal RNA", at positions 331 to 794 of the family's 1533-position model. The record is from RNAcentral.
CCAGACUCCUACGGGAGGCAGCAGUGGGGAAUAUUGCACAAUGGGGGGAACCCUGAUGCAGCGACGCCGCGUGGGCGAGGAAGUAUUUCGGUAUGUAAAGCCCUAUCGGCAGGGAAGAAGAAAUGACGGUACCUGACUAAGAAGCCCCGGCUAACUACGUGCCAGCAGCCGCGGUAAUACGUAGGGGGCAAGCGUUAUCCGGAUUCACUGGGUGUAAAGGGAGCGUAGACGGCGGCGCAAGUCUGGAGUGAAAGCCCGGGGCCCAACCCCGGGACUGCUCUGGAAACUGCGGCGCUGGAGUACGGGAGGGGCAGGCGGAAUUCCUGGUGUAGCGGUGAAAUGCGUAGAUAUUAGGAGGAACACCAGUGGCGAAGGCGGCCUGCUGGACGAUGACUGACGUUGAGGCUCGAAAGCGUGGGGAGCAAACAGGAUUAGAUACCCCGGUAGC